Etheostoma spectabile (orangethroat darter) is the source of this 127-nucleotide long non-coding RNA. RefSeq lists it as uncharacterized. The record is from RefSeq and is a predicted model, not a curated record. The transcript has 4 exons. NCBI's taxonomy places the organism in Eukaryota, Metazoa, Chordata, Actinopteri, Perciformes, Percidae.
ACAGAUGUCAGUCAGAUGAAGACAGACAGCAGCAGCAUCUGUCAGUGUCUGCUGAUGAAGGGACGACGUCUCUUUGACCUCAUCUGAACGGGACUUUAACAGGGUAGCAGCCUGACAGGACAGCCAC